UCAAAAACAUGGUUUCUUGAUUAUUAUAGGAGAUUUAACCUGCCCACUGAAUAAAUUUUGAAGGGCCGCAGUAUUUUGACUGUGCAAAGGUAGCAUAAUCAUUAGUCUUUUAAAUGGAGGCUGGUAUGAAUGGUUGGACGAGGUAAUAACUGUCUUAUUUAAAUUGUUGUUGAAGUUAGGUUUUAAGUAAAAAAACUUAAAUAUGAUUAAGGGACGAGAAGACCCUAUAGAGUUUAAUAAUCGUAGUUUUAAUUAAGUUAAAUAUAAAUUUUUAAUUAUUAUGUAGUUUAUUUAAUUGGGGUGAUUAGAGGAUAAAAUGAACUUCUCUUUAAAAUAAAUACUUUUAGUAGAAGUAUGAUCCAUAAUUAGUGAUUAUAAGAUUAAAUUACCUUAGGGAUAACAGCAUAAUUCUUUUUGAGAGUUCAGAUCGAAAAAAGAGAUUGUGACCUCGAUGUUGGAUUAAGAUAAAAGCUGGGUGUAGAUGUUUAGUUUUUAAGUCUGUUCGACUUUUAAAAUCUUACAUGAUCUGAGUUC
RNAcentral lists this ribosomal RNA (534 nucleotides) under Galepsus sp. MN259. RNAcentral describes it as "partial 16S ribosomal RNA". It matches the Rfam family "Bacterial large subunit ribosomal RNA", at positions 1807 to 2612 of the family's 2925-position model. The record is from RNAcentral. Lineage: Eukaryota; Metazoa; Arthropoda; Insecta; Mantodea; Eremiaphilidae.